GCGGCGAACGGGUGAGUAACGCGUGAGGAACCUGCCUCUUACAACGGGAUAGCCUCGGGAAUCCGGGAUUAAUACCGUAUAAGACUCCGACAUCUCCUGAUGAUGAAGUCAAAGCGUUAGCGGUAAGAGAUGGCCUCGCGUCUGAUUAGCUUGUUGGCGGGGUAACGGCCCACCAAGGCGACGAUCAGUAACCGGCCUGAGAGGGUGAACGGUCACAUUGGAACUGAGACACGGUCCAAACUCCUACGGGAGGCAGCAGUGGGGAAUCUUGCACAAUGGGGGCAACCCUGAUGCAGCGACGCCGCGUGAGCGAUGAAGGUUUUCGAAUCGUAAAGCUCUGUCCUAUGGGAAGAUAAUGACGGUACCAUGGGAGGAAGCCCCGGCUAACUACGUGCCAGCAGCCGCGGUAAUACGUAGGGGGCGAGCGUUGUCCGGAAUUACUGGGCGUAAAGGGUUCGCAGGCGGCAUGGCAAGUCCGAUGUAAAAGGCGAAGGCUCAACCUUCGUAAGCAUCGGAAACUGUCAAGCUUGAGUGAAGGAGAGGCAAGUGGAAUUCCUAGUGUAGCGGUGGAAUGCGUAGAUAUUAGGAGGAAUACCGGUGGCGAAGGCGACUUGCUGGACUUCAACUGACGCUGAGGAACGAAAGCGUGGGUAGCAAACAGGAUUAGAUACCCUGGUAGUCCACGCCGUAAACGAUGA
Molecule: ribosomal RNA, 698 nt
Filed under: uncultured Clostridia bacterium
Lineage: Bacteria; Bacillati; Bacillota; Clostridia
Description: bacterial SSU rRNA
Rfam family: Bacterial small subunit ribosomal RNA
Source: RNAcentral